GCUAGGGGGCUUACCCGCUUACCAAACCCUAUCAAACUCCGAAUGCCGGAAGGUGAAUCCCGGGAGUCAGACCGCGGGUGAUAAGGUUCGUGGUCGAGAGGGAAAGAGCCCAGACCGACAGCUAAGGUCCCCAAGUCCAUGCUCAGUGGGAAAGGAGGUGGGGUCGCUUGGACAGCCAGGAGGUUGGCUUAGAAGCAGCCAUCCUUUAAA
Molecule: ribosomal RNA, 210 nt
Filed under: Bigelowiella natans
Lineage: Eukaryota; Cercozoa; Chlorarachniophyceae
Description: partial Bacterial large subunit ribosomal RNA
Rfam family: Bacterial large subunit ribosomal RNA
Source: RNAcentral